AACAAACCCCCAUUCUCCCUUAAAUUGCUUUUUUCCGGGUAUGUAGAGUAAAUGCUGUUCAUACUGAGACAGGAAAAAAAGUGUCUAUAAAGACCAAGUGCAAAACGAUAUUAUAAACCAGACUAGUAUGAUUGUGUAUGUAUGAGACACAAGGCAUGCUACCUAUCCCUAUAAGCAAGUGUGCAUGUAAAUUACCAGCAAAAGCUCUCUGAGGACAGAUUCCAGCUAAGCACACAGGUAACGGAGGAAGAAGUGUUAAGAUAAGAAGGAUAAAGUCUAUCUCUGGGGCCUGACACCUGCUUCUCACCUAUUUCGGCACCAGGCACACGGAUGAAGCACAGACAGACAUGCAGGCAAAAACUCAUAUAUAUAAAAUAAAUUAAUAAUGGUAAUAA
Molecule: long non-coding RNA, 395 nt
Organism: Mastomys coucha (southern multimammate mouse)
Lineage: Eukaryota; Metazoa; Chordata; Mammalia; Rodentia; Muridae
Exons: 2
Source: RefSeq, a predicted model, not a curated record